This 69-nucleotide transfer RNA is filed under the name Odontobutis potamophilus. RNAcentral describes it as "tRNA-Phe". The record is from RNAcentral. Lineage: Eukaryota; Metazoa; Chordata; Actinopteri; Gobiiformes; Odontobutidae.
GCUAGGGUAGCUAAACUUAAAGUAUAACGCUAAAAACGUUACCAUGGGGCCUAAAAACCCCCACAAGCA